RNAcentral lists this ribosomal RNA (253 nucleotides) under uncultured bacterium. RNAcentral's name for it is "partial 16S ribosomal RNA". It matches the Rfam family "Bacterial small subunit ribosomal RNA", at positions 524 to 776 of the family's 1533-position model. The record is from RNAcentral.
UACAGAGGGUGCAAGCGUUGUUCGGAAUUACUGGGCGUAAAGGGCUCGUAGGUGGCCAACUAAGUCAGACGUGAAAUCCCUCAGCUUAACUGGGGAACUGCGUCUGAUACUGGAUGGCUUGAGUUUGGGAGAGGGAUGCGGAAUUCCCGGUGUAGCGGUGAAAUGCGCAGAUAUCGGGAGGAACACCAGUAGCGAAGGCGGCACUCUGGGCCGUGACUGACGCUGAGGAGCGAAAGCGUGGGUAGCAAACAGG